UACGUAGGGUCCAAGCGUGAAUCGGAAUUACUGGGCGUAAAGCGUGCGCAGGCGGUUGUGCAAGACCGAUGUGAAAUCCCCGAGCUUAACUUGGGAAUUGCAUUGGUGACUGCACGGCUAGAGUGUGUCAGAGGGGGGUAGAAUUCCACGUGUAGCAGUGAAAUGCGUAGAGAUGUGGAGGAAUACCGAUGGCGAAGGCAGCCCCCUGGGAUAACACUGACGCGCAUGCAAGAAAGCGGGGGGAGCAAACAGGAGGCGAUAACCGCGUAGUCC
This 273-nucleotide ribosomal RNA is filed under the name uncultured bacterium. Its description in RNAcentral is "partial 16S ribosomal RNA". It matches the Rfam family "Bacterial small subunit ribosomal RNA", at positions 524 to 796 of the family's 1533-position model. The record is from RNAcentral.